Molecule: ribosomal RNA, 497 nt
Filed under: uncultured bacterium
Lineage: Bacteria
Description: partial 16S ribosomal RNA
Rfam family: Bacterial small subunit ribosomal RNA
Source: RNAcentral
GAUGAACGCUGGCGGCGUGCCUAAUACAUGCAAGUCGAGCGAACGGACGAGAAGCUUGCUUCUCUGAUGUUAGCGGCGGACGGGUGAGUAACACGUGGAUAACCUACCUAUAAGACUGGGAUAACUUCGGGAAACCGGAGCUAAUACCGGAAAAUAUUUUGAACCGCAUGGUUCAAAAGUGAAAGACGGUCUUGCUGUCACUUAUAGAUGGAUCCGCGCUGCAUUAGCUAGUUGGUAAGGUAACGGCUUACCAAGGCAACGAUGCAUAGCCGACCUGAGAGGGUGAUAGGCCACACUGGAACGGAGACACGGUCCAGACUCCUACGGGAGGCAGCAGUAGGGAAUCUUCCGCAAUGGGCGAAAGCCUGACGGAGCAACGCCGCGUGAGUGAUGAAGGUCUUCGGAUCGUAAAACUCUGUUAUUAGGGAAGAACAUAUGUGUAAGUAACUGUGCACAUCUUGACGGUACCUAAUCAGAAAGCCACGGCUAACUACGUG